CAAGUCGAACGGUAACGUGGGGAGGAGCUUGCUCCACCCUGACGACGAGUGGCGAACGGGUGAGUAAUACAUCGGAACGUGUCCGCUCGUGGGGGACAACCAGCCGAAAGGUUGGCUAAUACCGCAUGAGUUCUACGGAAGAAAGAGGGGGACCCGCAAGGGCCUCUCGCGAGCGGAGCGGCCGAUGACUGAUUAGCCGGUUGGUGAGGUAACGGCUCACCAAAGCAACGAUCAGUAGCUGGUCUGAGAGGACGACCAGCCACACUGGGACUGAGACACGGCCCAGACUCCUACGGGAGGCAGCAGUGGGGAAUUUUGGACAAUGGGCGCAAGCCUGAUCCAGCUAUUCCGCGUGUGGGAUGAAGGCCCUCGGGUUGUAAACCACUUUUGUAGAGAACGAAAAGACACCUUCGAAUAAAGGGUGUUGCUGACGGUACUCUAAGAAUAAGCACCGGCUAACUACGUGCCAGCAGCCGCGGUAAUACGUAGGGUGCGAGCGUUAAUCGGAAUUACUGGGCGUAAAGGGUGCGCAGGCGGUUGAGUAAGACAGAUGUGAAAUCCCCGAGCUUAACUCGGGAAUGGCAUAUGUGACUGCUCGACUAGAGUGUGUCAGAGGGAGGUGGAAUUCCACGUGUAGCAGUGAAAUGCGUAGAUAUGUGGAAGAACACCGAUGGCGAAGGCAGCCUCCUGGGACAUAACUGACGCUCAGGCACGAAAGCGUGGGGAGCAAACAGGAUUAGAUACCCUGGUAGUCCACGCCCUAAACGAUGUUAACUAGUUGUUGGGAAGUAAAAUUCUCAGUAACGCAGCCAACGCGAGAAGUUAACCGCCUG
RNAcentral lists this ribosomal RNA (833 nucleotides) under uncultured bacterium. RNAcentral describes it as "bacterial SSU rRNA". It matches the Rfam family "Bacterial small subunit ribosomal RNA", at positions 58 to 875 of the family's 1533-position model. The record is from RNAcentral.